AGCCCAACACCUAGCCCAACCACUACAAAACUCGAAUAGACCAAAAAUCUACUCCCAGAUUAAACUAAAACAUUCUUGUAACCUAGUAUAGGCGAUAGAAAAGUUCACAUGGCGCGAUAGCGAGAUAGUACCGUAAGGGAAAGAUGAAAUAACAAUGAAAACUAAAGCAAAAAACAGCAAAGACAAACCCUUGUACCUCUUGCAUCAUGGUUUAGCAAGAACAACCAAGCAAAACGACCUUAAGCUUGCCCCCCCGAAACCCAAGCGAGCUACUAACGAGCAGCUACCCUUGAGCGAACCCGUCUCUGUUGCAAAAGAGUGGGAUGAUUCGUUAGUAGAGGUGAAAAGCCUACCGAGCUGGGUGAUAGCUGGUUGCCUGUGAAUUGAAUCUAAGUUCACUCUUAAUCCACCUCCACGGCACAUAGACCAUACCUCCAUGUAGAAGAUCAAGAGCAAUUCAAAGGAGGUACAGCUCCUUUAAAAAAGAACACAAUCUCCCCCAGCGGAUAAUCACCCAAUACAUUCUCAACCUGUGGGCCUUAAAGCAGCCACCAACAAAGAGUGCGUCAAAGCUCGCAUCCAAAAAAAUCUGAAAACAACAUGACUCCCUCAACCACAACAGGCCAACCUAUCACAAUAGGAGAAUCAAUGCUAAAACGAGUAACCUAGGGACCACCCUCUAUAGGCGCAAGCUUACAUCUCCCAUUAUUAACAGACCCACAUAAUGCCACAACUUCAACAAGACCACAUAUUAACUCCCCCUCUGUUAACCCGACCCAGGAGCGCCAACCAGAAAGAUUUAAAUCUGCAAAAGGAACUAGGCAAACAAGAGGCCCGACUGUUUACCAAAAACAUAGCCUUCAGCCCACCAAGUAUUGAAGGUGAUGCCUGCCCAGUGACACCACGUUCAACGGCCGCGGUAUCCUAACCGUGCAAAGGUAGCGCAAUCAAUUGUCUCAUAAAUCGGGACUUGUAUGAACGGCUAAACGAGGUCUCAACUGUCUCUUGCAGACAAUCAGUGAAACUGAUCUUCCUGUGCAAAAGCAGGAAUAAACACAUAAGACGAGAAGACCCUGUGGAACUUAAAAAUCAGCAGCCACCCUACUAAACUCAAACCUACAAGGUUCACUGGACUUAAAACAUAUUGGCUUGCAUUUUUUGGUUGGGGCGACCUUGGAGAAAAACAGAACCUCCAAAAACAAGACCACACCUCUUACCCAAGAGCAACACCUCGACGUACAAACAGUAACCAGACCCAGUACAACUGAGCAGUGAACCAAGCUACCCCAGGGAUAACAGCGCAAUCUCCCUCAAGAGCCCCUAUCGACAGGGAGGUUUACGACCUCGAUGUUGGAUCAGGACAUCCUAAUGGUGCAGCCGCUAUUAAGGGUUCGUUUGUUCAACGAUUAACAGUCCUACGUGAUCUGAGUUCAGACCGGAGCAAUCCAGGUCGGUUUCUAUCUAUGAUUAACUUUCCCUAGUACGAAAGGACCGGAAAAGUAAGGCCAAUACCACAAGCACGCCUUCCCUAUAAGUAAUGUACCCAACUAAAUUACCAAAAGGAUAACCACUUCACACCCUCACCCUAAAAAAGGGUC
Molecule: ribosomal RNA, 1598 nt
Filed under: Aerodramus maximus (black-nest swiftlet)
Lineage: Eukaryota; Metazoa; Chordata; Aves; Apodiformes; Apodidae
Description: 16S ribosomal RNA
Rfam family: Bacterial large subunit ribosomal RNA
Source: RNAcentral